GAUGAACGCUGGCGGCGUGCCUAAUACAUGCAAGUCGAGCGAACGGACGAGAAGCUUGCUUUUCUGAUGUUAGCGGCGGACGGGUGAGUAACACGUGGAUAACCUACCUAUAAGACUGGGAUAACUUCGGGAAACCGGAGCUAAUACCGGAUAAUAUUUUGAACCGCAUGGUUCAAAAGUGAAAGACGGUCUUGCUGUCACUUAUAGAUGGAUCCGCGCUGCAUUAGCUAGUUGGUAAGGUAACGGCUUACCAAGGCAACGAUGCAUAGCCGACCUGAGAGGGUGAUCGGCCACACUGGAACUGAGACACGGUCCAGACUCCUACGGGAGGCAGCAGUAGGGAAUCUUCCGCAAUGGGCGAAAGCCUGACGGAGCAACGCCGCGUGAGUGAUGAAGGUCUUCGGAUCGUAAAACUCUGUUAUUAGGGAAGAACAUAUGUGUAAGUAACUGUGCACAUCUUGACGGUACCUAAUCAGAAAGCCACGGCUAUCUACGUG
Molecule: ribosomal RNA, 497 nt
Filed under: uncultured bacterium
Lineage: Bacteria
Description: partial 16S ribosomal RNA
Rfam family: Bacterial small subunit ribosomal RNA
Source: RNAcentral